CUCUAGCCCGGAUUGGAAUGACAUCCUUUUUUCAUUGCCAUGGGUUUUAACCCUCGGCAAUGAAAAAAGAUAUAAUGGAAAGCCGGACACAGC
RNAcentral lists this non-coding RNA (93 nucleotides) under unclassified sequences. RNAcentral's name for it is "Flavo-1 RNA". It matches the Rfam family "Flavo-1 RNA". RNAcentral also lists the same sequence under 1 other name. The record is from RNAcentral.